Molecule: RNA transcript, 3609 nt
Organism: Canis lupus familiaris (dog)
Lineage: Eukaryota; Metazoa; Chordata; Mammalia; Carnivora; Canidae
Gene: CSF1
Gene name: colony stimulating factor 1
Exons: 9
Source: RefSeq, a predicted model, not a curated record
AUGACCGCGCGGGGCGCCGCCGGGCGCUGCCCCCCCACGACAUGGCUGAUGCCCCUGCUGCUGCUGGUCUCUCUCCUGGCGAGCCGGAGUACUACCGAGGAGGUGUCAGAGCACUGUAGCCACAUGAUUGGGAACGGGCACCUGCAGUUCCUCCAGCAGCUGAUUGACAGUCAGAUGGAGACGUCGUGCCAGAUUGCCUUUGAGUUUGUAGACCAGGAGCUAUUGAAAGAUCCCGUGUGCUACCUUAAGAAGGCGUUUGUCCUGAUGCAAGACAUAAUGGAGGACACCAUGCGCUUCAAAGACAAUACUCCCAACGCCAAUGUCAUCGUUAAGCUCCAGGAACUCUCUCUGAGGCUAAAGAGCUGCUUCACGAAGGACUACGAAGAGCAGGACAAGGCCUGUGUCCGGACUUUCUAUGAGACACCCCUGCAGUUGCUGGAAAAGAUCAAGAAUGUCUUUAAUGAAACAAAGAAUCUCCUUAAAAAGGACUGGAACAUUUUCAGCAAGAACUGCAACAACAGCUUUGCUAAGUGCUCCAGCCAAGAUGUGGUGACCAAGCCUGAUUGCAACUGCCUGUACCCCACAGCCACCCCUAGCAGUGACCUGGCCUCUGUCUCCCCUCAGCAGCCCCUUGCCCCCUCCAUGGCCCCUAUGGCUGGCUUGACCUGGGCCGACUCUGAGGGGACAGAGGGCAGCUCCCUCUUGCCCAGUGAGCAGCCCCUCCGCACAGUGGACCUGGACCCGGACAGUGCCAAGCAGCGACCACCCAGAAGCACCUGCCAGAGCUUUGACUCUCCGGAGCCCCCAGGUGUGGAGGCCAGCCCCGCCGGAGAUUCACUUCAGGCUCUGCCCUCUGUCAGGGCCCCCGUCCCUGGGAUGGAAGACGUUCUGGACUCUGCGUUGGGCACUAACUGGACCCUAGAGGAGGCCUCCGGAGAGGCUAGUGAGGGUCCCGCGCCGCAAGGGGCAGAGCUUUCUCCCUCCAGGCUGGGAGGAGGCAGAGGCCAAGCCCAGACGACCGCCAGGCCCGGGGACCUCUCGUCAGCAUCUUUUCUGCUGUCCUACUCAGCCGGGGGCCGGCAGCCAGGGGACGUGCCCGGCCUACCCCCGCCCACGGCGGGCCCCGCGAGACCCGCUGGCCCGGCCCAGAGUCGCACGCCUGAGAGGACCGAGCGACCGUCUGCCGCGCCCGGAGACCAUCAGAAGCCAGGCCCUGCCAGGACCCCGCCGCGGCCCCCGAGAGGCCUCAGCAGCCCCGCAGCCCGCUCCGAGCAGCCAGGGCUCCCCAGAAGGCUCUCCUGGGGCCGUGCGCUGCCCCUCGGGGACGUGGAGGGCAGAAGGAGCACCCGGGGCCGCAGGAGCCCCGCGCAGCCGGAAGGAGGACAAGCGAGCGAGGGGGCGGCCGGGGCCCUGGCCCACUCUAACGCCAUUCCUUUGACUGACGCAGGCCACGAGAAGCAGCAGGAGGGACCUUCUGGCCCUCAGCUCCCCAGGUUUGCCUUCCGCCUCCUGGUGCCCAGCGUCAUCCUGGUCCUGCUGGCCGUCGGCGGCCUCCUGCUGUACAGGCGGAGACGGCGGAGUCAUCGAGAGCCUCAGGCAGCGGAUUCUCCCGUGGAGCAACCAGAGGGCAGCCUCUGCUGAAGCCUUAUGCCAGUCCUAUGCUCUACCCGCAGCCCCCUGACCCAGGAUGAGGAGAGACAGGUGGAACUGCCGGUGUAGGGGCAUUUCUAAGCUGGGCGCACAGGACAGUCUCUCCAUGGGAGGAGACCUUAUGGGGGUGUCCACCACCACCCAUCCCCAGCCAUUCUCCUGGGAGUGUGGCCUGCCCACCACAAGAGCUCCUGCCUGCCAGGACUAGACCAGAGCAGCGAGGCUGGGGUCCCUCUGCCCUCGCCCCCUCAGACUGGACUGACUAGGAGAGGGCUGGAGAUGCUCCCCACGCUGCUGAUAUUUAUCGUGGGCCCUGGAGGCGCCCACCCACUGGAGGAAGGCGAGGAAGCUCGGCCGAGGACCCUCUGCACCUCGGGGGCUGUGUCCUGCUGCGUCUCCCCUCCAAGCCUCACCCGGGCCAGGGACCCAGAGGCCCUAGGCUGUGGGAGCGCAGGGUGGGCACCGAGGCUCGGAGGACCGCCUGGUGCCAAGGGGUCCCAAUGCCAACAAGCAGGGACUUGUCUCCAGAGAGAAGCCGGAGGUGGGCAGGGCGGCUGGCGGCCGGGUUUCCCUGAGGCGUGCAGCCCAAAGCCGGAAGGGAAGGCCUGCGCCACUGGGCUCACCCACCCGCUUGCCUGGUGCCCCUGCCGGCCGCGCAGCUCUGCCCCGGACCGUGCGGCUUGGCUCCACUGCCAAGGGCAGGCCAGCUCUGGCAUCUGCGCCGCCGCCCCAGCCCUGCCAGGGCCCCGGGGGCGCCGAGGCCCGCUAAGAGGCCAUUGCACUGUGAACCCCGAACCUGCCUGCUGAACAGCCGCCCAGUCCUGCGAGCGCCACUGUCCGGCUCCCCGCCUGGGCCAGGGGCGCCCUGGCCGGAGCUGGUCUUCAGGCUAUGUCGCUCGCAGGUUUCUGCAUCUUGCACUUUGACGUCCCUAGGGGGAGGUGACAAGCGGGAGGGAGGAGGCGGGAGCGCAUAGGCCCACAGGGGCUCUGCUGCCCACCGACUGCCCAAGGGUCUCUGCAGGCCUGGGCAUCCUCCGAGCUGGGGGAGGCGUCCGCGCCCCGGGCCGCAGCCUGGCCCCCUUCCCCAUGCGGCCCGGCCCCAUCCCAGCAGCAGGCCUCACUCCAGCCUCCCAGCACAGCGCCGCUCCGGUCCCCUUCCCGCCCUCUCUUCCCCACCCUCCCCGGGGAGGCAGGGAUCCCCCCAGCCCGGCCCCUACACUGUGUCUCCCACCGGGCCACAGGCCAGCCAUGACGGAGAGGGACCAGGCAGCUGGAGUCCGUGUGAAGCCUCAGCUUCCUGGGCCGGCCCGCGGCCACUGCUCUGAGAGCUGGCGGUCUGCGAUGGGGCCGAUUGCCCGUGGUCCUUUUGUGCUGCUGUGUCUCUCCUCUCCUGCUGCCCUGGGCCCUCCACCGAGAGAUGCCACCCUUCCUGGCCGCUGAGCCGGGGCCCAUGAACUUUCCUUCCUGCCCUCAAAAGCGGGGGUCUCGUGGCUCCUGCCACCCCGGCCCUGCUGCUCUCAGCUGAAGGGGAGGCAGCCGGGAACUUGCCCUGUGGGGCUCCUUCUAGUCUCAGACUCUAUAUUUGAUGCUAGAAAAUAUGUAUUUAAAAGGGAAAGGGAAAAAAAAAAAAACACAGAAAAAAGGCAUUCCUCCCCCACCCCAAACAUAUAGUAUUUUAAAAGUCAAGAAAGCAAGUCCAACCCACUGCAGAAGUUCUUUGUGGGCACUUGGUGACACAGGCAUAGGAGGGGCCCCAGCCCUCUGGGUGGCUCCCCUGGCUACCUGCACAGGAAUCCCUUCGUUGAGAAAGCUGAGAGGGAACAUUGGCUCACACACUGUGAGAUUUUGUUUUUAUACUUGGAAGUGAUGAAUUAUUUUAUAUAAAGUCAUUGAAAUAUCUAUUUAAAAAAUAGGAAGCUGCUUUUAUAUUUAAUAAUAAAAGAAGUGCACAAGCUGCCA